UAAAUAAAAUCUUAAAAAAAAAAAAAAAAAAAGAAUUUCAGCCUGAAGAGUCCAGAGUUUAGAAACCUGGACCACUAUAAACAGGAAAACACUGACUGCUAUUACAUGACAUAUUGACUGUGUCACCCCUUCAUUAGACUUGCAGAGUGGAAUGCACCCCAAGGCGGCAAUGAGCCGCACGUCGGUGGGUCCACACAGCACUCCCAUUGACCCUGCACACACGUCUGCGGCCUGCUGCCUCACACCAUGGCCGGCUCUUAUUUCCAGUGAGGGAGCCUGCACCUUUAGCAUACCCCAAAGGAAGUAAUUCACGGGCCCCGAUCUGGGAGGGGUGCAGCUCUCUCCACACAGCCAGACCAUCCGGGUUUGGAAGUAAUCAUACCAGCAAUCAGUCCCUCACUGCUCCAGGGCAGCGGGGCGGUGUGCCAUCCCGUGAGAGUUAUUACAAUGGCCUUUCCCUUGCCCACCAGACAGAGGCACUAAUGGGUCACUUGAGAUGACUAAGUAUGGCAGAUGUUCAUCUUUGUUUCCAGGCUUGGUGGCCACUGUGACGGGUUGCAUCGUGUCCCCCUGAAAAGAUAUUUUGAAGUCCUAACCUCUGGUACCUGUGAAUGGGGCUUUGUUUAGCUAUGGGUCUUUGCAGAUGGAACCAAGUGCAGAUAAGAGAUCAUUAGGUCAUAAUCCAAGAAGACUGGUAUCCUUGGAGAAGAGGGACAUUGGGACACAGGCUCGCAGAGAACGCUGGGACAGCCAACACGGGGCUGAAGGAAGGCCAAGGUUGGAUGGCCACACUGGGGCCGGGGAGGAGGCAAGGAAGGAUGCUCCCCUAGAGGCCGGGCUGGCUGAUACCUGGGUUUUGAACUCUUAGCCUUCGGAACCGUGAGACAGUAAGUUGCUGUGGUUUUAACCAUCUCAUUGGCGGUAGAUGGUUCCAGCAAUCCUAGCAAAGGAACAGAGCUGCCCUAAGUGCUAUUCCAGAACGGACGGUGGCCCGAUGCUCGGCAAGGUCCUCAGGGAAGGCUCGAACAGGGUUAUGAAGUCUUCUUUAAACUAAGUUUUUAAAAAGAGAGAACUGAUGUCUGACAAGGAAACUGAGGCUCUAGGGAACUUCUGAAAAAUUGCAUGUGGCAGAUACAGAUGAGGCCUGGACCUAUUCGGCUUCAAAACCUGUGUUUCUCCACAUUCAUCUCACCACCUACAGUUGAUCCCAUUUUCAACCAGAAAGGAAAAAAACUAGGCGAGCCAGUAUCGAUUGCAUUUUUACGGCUUCUUAAGGGCAGAUUUCCUUAAAAACACCAUCUUACCAAAUUCACCAGAGAAUGCUUUGAAAUAUAAAAGAAGCAUCUUCUUAACAAGAUUUAUGAGGAGGAAUUAAAAAUUUGAUCAUGUAAAGAGAUGUUCCCCUACAAUAGGAAGUUCGGGUCAAGAUGUCAGUGGAGUACCCAACUCUCCUCCCCUUCCUUUCCAAGGUCUUCCUGAAAUAACACAGACAAACAAAACAAAUGAAAAAGAUAACCCUGGAAAAUAAGAAAGGUGUCAUCCGUAGACAAAUAAUACCGAAGUCCUUAAGGAACAAAAAGAAAUGGCUUUAGUUUGAUGGAAAACCAGAGUGCAGACCACUACAGCUCAAGACAAGAGAGGUAAGCAAAGUUCUUCUGGGAAGUUCCUGGCUCAGGCUCAACCAAAUGCAGAGAGGAGGGACCUGGGACUGCCAUCGGAGGAGUUCGAGAAGUUAAUUCAAAGCAGUGGGCCAGGCAGGCAAACCCCUUCUUCUCCCCUCAUACAGGGGCAGUUGUUUUUAUUUACAGAUGAAGCCCAAAGAACUGCUUUCUACAGAGUGGGCAGCGUCUCUAAGGAGUUUUUAGGUCAGAAAGAGAAGCAGAGCACAGCAUGAGGUUACGCAGGACCUGCCUAAUAGGCUCGGAUGAGAAAGGAGGAAGGCACAUGCCACCUAGAAAUAAACUUCACAGAGAACUCCAACCACACAGCGACAUUCCUCAUCCCAACCCCAGUUAUAGUCGGUAUCUACCUGCCUGCUUCCUGCCGACACUCCACCAGAGGCUGGCUCUGACGUCCCCCAUCCACUGGCUCUGACGUCCCCCAUCCACUGGCUCUGACGUCCCCCAUCCACUCACUAGGGCUCACAACCUGCCAGGCCAGCCCUGGGAGGAGCUACUCAGCUGCAGAAAUGACUCCAUCCCGGCUACCUACUGGAUAAACAGGACUAAUCCUGGAAAAAAAAAAAAACAACUUAGAAGAACAAAAAAGAACUUGAUUUUUAUUUGAGCACUCUGAAAAGAGAUUUAAGAGCAACAGUGAUUUGAACAGAAACAGAGAACAAGACCUGGCUUCUGGGAAAUGACAAAUAGGAAUACCAAGGUAAGAUUUCUUGUUCAAGGGCUGUAUAUUAUCAUAUAAACACCCAACAGCUUGAAGCCGUCCAAGAGGGGCCACGGCUAUCCAGGAGGGGUUCUGAAGGAAAGAACAGAGACAAAUGAAGGGAAGGAAGUAAUCCCAUAUCGCUGGUGUCUGGGACUCAGAAUGAUCAGCAGUACGGAGUACUAGAAGUCAAAGAACCAAUGCCCUCUGAGCUCUGAGGAAAGGGGCUUUAAAUGUAUUCUUUUAUGCCAGGUUGUGAUUAAUUAAGGAUGAGGGUAAAGUGAAGAAACCUCCAGACAGGACUACCCACAAGAUCUGCAUGAGAUAAUUACCUGAGGAGUUUGUCCAGCAAACAGAGAAGGAAUCGAAGCAAGCAAGCACUAUGGGAAUCAAGGAACGGUGGCCACUGAACCCAGCUCAGGAAAGCUGAAGACACUUAACAACUGAGAGUUGACAAGUUCCCUUUUAGGAGCAAGUUUUACUGACAUAGGAUUUUGGGUGUUUUUUGUUUUAUUAUUAUUAUUUUUUUAUAUUUUGAGUGUGCACGAAUACAAUCACAUUGUUGGGUUCUCAGCAUCAAAUUAUAUUGUUGAUAGAUUUUCAGUUUUUAGAAUCAACCUGUACUGAGUUAACUAUGUAAAAACAUAAUAUGAACAUAAUAAAACUUGGCAAAAUAA
Long non-coding RNA from Canis lupus familiaris (dog), 3056 nucleotides. RefSeq lists it as uncharacterized. NCBI's taxonomy places the organism in Eukaryota, Metazoa, Chordata, Mammalia, Carnivora, Canidae. The transcript has 4 exons. The record is from RefSeq and is a predicted model, not a curated record.